Molecule: ribosomal RNA, 731 nt
Filed under: Legionella pneumophila
Lineage: Bacteria; Pseudomonadati; Pseudomonadota; Gammaproteobacteria; Legionellales; Legionellaceae
Description: partial 23S ribosomal RNA
Rfam family: Bacterial large subunit ribosomal RNA
Source: RNAcentral
GUAAUGUUGAAAAAUUAUCGGAUGACGUGUGGCUAGGAGUGAAAGGCUAAUCAAGCCCGGAGAUAGCUGGUUCUCCCCGAAAGCUAUUUAGGUAGCGCCUCGUGAAUGAUUACUGGGGGUAGAGCACUGUUUCGGCUAGGGGGCUGUCAUGGCUUACCAAACCGAUGCAAACUCCGAAUACCGGCUAAUUGAAUCACGGGAGACACACGGCGGGUGCUAACGUCCGUCGUGGAGAGGGAAACAACCCAGACCGCCAGCUAAGGUCCCCAAGUACUAGUUAAGUGGGAAACGAUGUGGGAAGGCAUAGACAGCCAGGAGGUUGGCUUAGAAGCAGCCACCCUUUAAAGAAAGCGUAAUAGCUCACUGGUCGAGUCGGCCUGCGCGGAAGAUGUAACGGGGCUAAAACUAGUCACCGAAGCUGCGGAUGUGCGCGAAGGCGCACGUGGUAGGGGAGCGUUCUGUAAGCUGAUGAAGGUGCAUUGAGAAGUGUGCUGGAGGUAUCAGAAGUGCGAAUGCUGACAUGAGUAACGAUAAUGUGGGUGAAAAGCCCACACGCCGGAAGUCCCAGGUUUCCUGCACGACGUUAAUCGGAGCAGGGUGAGUCGGCCCCUAAGGCGAGGCUGAAGAGCGUAGUCGAUGGGAACCAGGUUAAUAUUCCUGGACUUUUUAUAAGUGGUGAAGUGGGGACGAAGAAGGCUAGGUGAGCCAGGCGUUGGUUGUCCUGGUACUUG